CCUACGGGUGGCAGCAGUGAGGAAUAUUGGUCAAUGGACGAGAGUCUGAACCAGCCAAGUAGCGUGAAGGAUGACUGCCCUAUGGGUUGUAAACUUCUUUUAUAUGGGAAUAAAACGUUCCACGUGUGGGAUUUUGUAUGUACCAUAUCAAUAAGGAUCGGCUAACUCCGUGCCAGCAGCCGCGGUAAUACGGAGGAUCCGAGCGUUAUCCGGGUUUAUUGGGUUUAAAGGGAGCGUAGGUGGAUUGGUAAGUCAGUUGUGAAAGUGUGCGGCUCAACCGUAAAAUUGCAGUUGAAACUGGCAGUCUUGAGUACAGGAGAGGUGGGCGGAAUUCGUGGUGUAGCGGUGAAAUGCUUAGAUAUCACGAAGAACUCCGAUUGCGAAGGCAGUUCACUGGACUGCAACUGACACUGAGGCUCGAAAGUGUGGGUAUCAAACAGGAUUAGAUACCCUGGUAGUC
Molecule: ribosomal RNA, 460 nt
Filed under: uncultured bacterium
Lineage: Bacteria
Description: partial 16S ribosomal RNA
Rfam family: Bacterial small subunit ribosomal RNA
Source: RNAcentral